This 55-nucleotide transfer RNA is filed under the name Ruellia tuberosa. Its description in RNAcentral is "partial tRNA-His". Lineage: Eukaryota; Viridiplantae; Streptophyta; Magnoliopsida; Lamiales; Acanthaceae. The record is from RNAcentral.
UCGCGCAUGGGGGGGUUCACAAUUCCCUGCCCUGAUUCCCUUGGGUACAUUCGCC